RNAcentral lists this ribosomal RNA (552 nucleotides) under uncultured marine eukaryote. Its description in RNAcentral is "bacterial SSU rRNA". It matches the Rfam family "Eukaryotic small subunit ribosomal RNA", at positions 617 to 1164 of the family's 1831-position model. The record is from RNAcentral.
GGUUAAAAAGCUCGUAGUUGGAUCUCGGCAAGUAGAGGGCGGUAUGCUUCGUAGCAUUACUGCCCUAUUACUUGUAGUUUUGCCAGAGGUUCCUGGGUGCUCUUAAUCGAGUGUCUAGGGAUGCUGGCAGGUUUACUUUGAAAAAAUUAGAGUGCUCAAAGCAGGCUAUUACGCUUGAAUAUUCGUGCAUGGAAUAAUAGAAUAGGAAGUUGUUUCUAUUUUGUUGGUUUUCGGAAAUCGACUUAAUGAUUAAUAGGGACAGUCGGGGGCAUUUGUAUUCAAACGACAGAGGUGAAAUUCCUAGAUCGUGGGAAGACGAACUUCCGCGAAAGCAUUCGACAAGAAUGUCUUCAUUAAUCAAGAACGAGAGUGUGGGGGUCGAAGAUGAUCAGAUACCGUCGUAGUCCACUACUGUAAACAAUGCCGUCUCAAGAUUGAGAAGUGAACCUAAUGACUUUCACAGCACUAACCCCUGAAACGAGAAAUCGAAGAUUAUGGGUUCAGGGGGGAGUACAUUCGCAAGGCUGAAACUUAAAAGAAUUGACGGAAUGA